AUUUUAAUAGCUUAUUUAUUAAAGCAUAAUAUUGAAGAUAUUAAGAAGAAUUUUUCUUAAAAUA
RNAcentral lists this transfer RNA (64 nucleotides) under Sophonia linealis. RNAcentral's name for it is "tRNA-Phe". RNAcentral also lists the same sequence under 1 other name. Lineage: Eukaryota; Metazoa; Arthropoda; Insecta; Hemiptera; Cicadellidae. The record is from RNAcentral.